Molecule: ribosomal RNA, 361 nt
Filed under: uncultured bacterium
Lineage: Bacteria
Description: partial 16S ribosomal RNA
Rfam family: Bacterial small subunit ribosomal RNA
Source: RNAcentral
CCUACGGGUGGCAGCAGUGAGGAAUAUUGGUCAAUGGACGCAAGUCUUAACCAGCCAUGCCGCGUGCAGGAAAACGGCUCUAUGAGUUGUAAACUGCUUUUGUAUGAGGGUAAACGCAGAUACGCGUAUCUGUCUGAAAGUAUCGUACGAAUAAGGAUCGGCUAACUCCGUGCCAGUAGACGCGGUAAUACGGAGAAUACAAGUGUUACCCGGAUUGAUUGGGUUUAAAGGGUGCGUAGGCGGUCGGAUAAGUUAGAGGUGAAUUCCCGAGGCUGAACUUCGGAAAUGCCUCUGUUACGGUUCGGCUAGUGGGUAGUUGCGGUAGGCGGAAUGUAUGGGGUAGCGGUGAAAUGCUGAGAGA